UACAGAGGUCCCAAGCGUUGUUCGGAUUCAUUGGGCGUAAAGGGUGCGUAGGUGGCAUGGUAAGUCGGGUGUGAAAUCCCGGGGCCCAACCCCGGAACUGCACUCGAUACUGCCGUGCUCGAGUACUGGAGAGGAGACUGGAAUUUACGGUGUAGCAGUGAAAUGCGUAGAUAUCGUAAGGAAGACCGGUGGCGAAGGCUAGUCUCUGAACAGUUACUGACACUGAGGCACGAAGGCCAGGGGAGCAAACGGG
RNAcentral lists this ribosomal RNA (253 nucleotides) under uncultured bacterium. Its description in RNAcentral is "partial 16S ribosomal RNA". It matches the Rfam family "Bacterial small subunit ribosomal RNA", at positions 524 to 776 of the family's 1533-position model. The record is from RNAcentral.